This is a long non-coding RNA of Bombus impatiens (common eastern bumble bee), 498 nucleotides long. RefSeq lists it as uncharacterized. The transcript is spliced from 3 exons. Lineage: Eukaryota; Metazoa; Arthropoda; Insecta; Hymenoptera; Apidae. The record is from RefSeq and is a predicted model, not a curated record.
GAAAAAUCGUUCCCGGAACACAUUCCUGGAUUACCGAUUAAAGUACGAGUUUGCGGGUUACCAGUCAUGCGUUCUUUUGGUUUAGCAAACGGGUGCUCGUUUAUCCACGAUACACAACCGAUGAUUCUUUUAUUAAGAAAUCUCUAAGAAGUUUUUCAAAUACUUGAGAUUUUCUUGGUACAAUAGAAGACAAAAGACUUUUAAGAACAAUUCACAAAAAAAUGAAUUCCAAUUAUCUUUUUGUCGAACAAAGAGAAUCUUAAGCAACAUGAACAAGUAGAAGAAACGAAAACAAGAAAGAAAUCGGGAGACAGAAAAAUGCCCGAAGCUGUAAGAAACACGUCUAAACAGGAAACACGUGCAGUUCGAAGCAACAAUGAAAAAAGGACAAAACUUGGCUGUUACAUGUGGGACACCCUUUAUUCGUCUAUCUAUUAACGCAAACUCGUAACGUGUAAAUUGGAUAGCUGCACGUUUAUCCAACGAUCUCUGCAUUUG